ACGACGCCUUCCAGAGGGUACUAGCCGCUGAAACACUCCCCCACUUUACAGACAUCUCUGGAAACCUCGAAACCGUUCCCUUGGAGAGAAAUUGUUCGGCUUCCGAGAAAAAGAAAAACAGACUAAAAGAAAAUCCCUACAAAAACCUCUGUUCACCUCAUAUCUUCGAUCAAUCCUUCAUCCUUUCCCUUUCUAUGGAACAAUCUCCUUCUCUGGAAGAUUGCUUGAAGCUCUUGAAAGGCGAAAGGGAUGAACAACGACUCGCAGGCCUGCUUCUUGUCACUAAAUUUUGCAAGGGCGACGACAAUGCUGCCCUUCGUAGGGUUUACAAUGCGGUCGGAAUUGGGUUUCUCGAUCGCCUGUUAAGGACCGGGAUGGGGAAAGGAACUAUUAGUAGCAGUGGAGGUGACAACAGAGAUGCAUAUUUGCAACUAUCAGUUACUGUUCUUGCUGCAUUCUGUCGUGUUCCGGAGAUUGCUUCAUCUGAAGAUAUGGUCUUAAAGAUUCCUUUGAUAUUGGAAAUUUUGUCCAAGCAAUCAGGCUCACAUGUUGUUGAAGAGUGCUACGAAUUUUUAUUUCUUGUGUCUACUUCUUGUGAAGAUGGAGUCUCAGCAUUGUACAAAUCUGGAGGCUUAAGGGUGCUAGCUUCCCAAAUGUCUACUUUGGCAGAUGGUUCACACUCACAGGCACUGGCUAUGAAACUUGUGCAGUUGAUGCUUAGUACAGUGUCCCUGGACAUCAUUAAUAAUGAAUAUUCAUCAGAACUGUCAAUGAUGGUGGCUGUAAUAGCAAGGGAAUUCGCUGUGUUGCAUGAUGCCCUGAAAUUUGAAGCACUCCACCUGCUUUCUGCUAUCCUCUCCUCAAAAUAUUCUGCACCAGUGCAUGACACUCUUCGCAUAAUGUCUAAUGACAUUUGGUCGACAUAUGUGCGAGUUGGUAUUGUGGCCAUUUUACAGAAUCGUGUUGCACCUGCUGAAAAGCUUCAGGCUUUGAUCCUGGCAGAGUCUGUGAUAUCUAUACUGGGGGAGAGGUGGCUGCUUGGUCAGAUGAACUUACCUGAUGCAAAAGACUCUGUUCCUGCUGACAGGUGUCUUUUACUUGUCUUAGAGUCAUCAAGGGUUGAAGUUGCUGUUUUGUUGAAUGAGCUUGCCUACCUGAAAUAUGAAACUUCUAAUAACUCUUCAUCCAAUGCUGAAAUAAUUUCUUUAAAGCAACGGAACCUGGCUAUUGCUUUUUCUUUGGUAGAGAAGACAAUUAAGCUUAUCUCAAAUGUAGUUGAAGAUGAAGUGAACCCGAUUGAUGAAAACACUUUGUCGAAGGUUAUCUCUGGGCUUAAUGAGACAGUUGGUGUAGUUUUAGAGUAUUUACAAGAUGCAAAGGAUCAUGGACAAAAGAAAGGAGAUGAUCUUCUUGCUUCAGUGCGGCUUAUUGGGAGCUAUCUUGCAGAAACACCCCUUGCUUGCAGAGAGAAGGUUAGAGAACUUCUGGAGUUUAUGCUCUCGAUUGAAGGUGAAGAUGAACCAAGACCUUUUUUCUCCAUAUGCUUUUUACUCCCAAUGCUAUGUCAAAUAACAAUGGAAAUUGAAGGAUGCAAAAUUUUGGUAUCUUGUGGAGGACAAAAAGCUGUUGUGGAAUGCCUCAUAAAAUUGAUUGGUCCAAAUGGUUGUAUGAUUGAGGAUAAGGGUUGCAUAUUCUUGGCGUGUGAUACAAUUCUGAAUCUUCUUCUCAAGAGAGAUCAAAUUAAAUUUCGAUUGGACGAAUCUACUUCUGUUCAUCUUCUGAAAGCAUUAGCAUAUUGGACAGAGGAAACUGAUGAACCAUCUAUAGUUAUGAUGGCCUCAAGCAUUUGUGCUCUGAUAUUUGAUCAUACAUCAGAGCAGGCUCUUCUAAAUCAUCCCAACAUUGAUCAUAGCACUAUUGCUAGUCUGUCUCAGCUCAUCGUGAGAAGUUUGGCUACGUGUGCGCAGAACAUGGGUGAUGAUAUGAAAUCAGACUUGGAUCUUCUUGACAUUGUUACUGCAGGAUAUUCUCGAUGGUCCCAUAGGUUCCCCCAUAUAAAAGCAGCCGUUGGGAGAUUGAGUUAAUCAUCCUUGAAAAUAACAUUUUGGUCUUCCCUUAACCACGCAGACUUGGUGCCUGGUAUGAGUUUGAAGUCCCUUCCCUUGAAUUAAGACGAGGAUUCAUCCAUGUGUUUCUAACCAUCUCUAGACAACUCUUUAGGAAUCACCACACUGUUCCUGCUGUUGCCUUGUCUUCUCCUCUCUGCAUGUUUGAAUGGGUGAAAAGAAAUUUAUGUAUACUAUUUCAUAUUCAGGAACAAUCUGCAAUUUGGAUGUCAGCAGUGAGAAAGCAGUGAAAUAGUUUAGGAAAAUUGGAUAAUGUUACUUGAUUUUGCACACUGACUGUGUGGUGGUGAAUUCUUUGCCUGUCAACUUAACAACGUGGAGAUGGAGUUAUAGCA
This is an RNA transcript of Vitis vinifera (wine grape), 2461 nucleotides long. RefSeq lists it as uncharacterized. The transcript is spliced from 19 exons. Lineage: Eukaryota; Viridiplantae; Streptophyta; Magnoliopsida; Vitales; Vitaceae. The record is from RefSeq and is a predicted model, not a curated record.